AUUGAACGCUGGCGGCAUGCUUUACACAUGCAAGUCGAACGGCAGCACGGGGGCAACCCUGGUGGCGAGUGGCGAACGGGUGAGUAAUAUAUCGGAACGUACCCGGAAAUGGGGGAUAACGUAGCGAAAGUUACGCUAAUACCGCAUAUGCCCUAAGGGGGAAAGCGGGGGACUCGCAAGAACCUCGCGUUUUCGGAGCGGCCGAUAUCGGAUUAGCUAGUAGGUGAGGUAAAGGCUCACCUAGGCGACGAUCCGUAGCUGGUCUGAGAGGACGACCAGCCACACUGGAACUGAGACACGGUCCAGACUCCUACGGGAGGCAGCAGUGGGGAAUUUUGGACAAUGGGCGCAAGCCUGAUCCAGCCAUGCCGCGUGAGUGAAGAAGGCCUUC
RNAcentral lists this ribosomal RNA (391 nucleotides) under uncultured bacterium. Its description in RNAcentral is "bacterial SSU rRNA". It matches the Rfam family "Bacterial small subunit ribosomal RNA", at positions 30 to 419 of the family's 1533-position model. The record is from RNAcentral.